Long non-coding RNA from Rhopalosiphum maidis (corn leaf aphid), 1217 nucleotides. RefSeq lists it as uncharacterized. Lineage: Eukaryota; Metazoa; Arthropoda; Insecta; Hemiptera; Aphididae. The transcript has 5 exons. The record is from RefSeq and is a predicted model, not a curated record.
UCUGUAGUUAAUUUAUUUCUUUUAAAUUUAAAUUAACUAUUAAAGUUUAAUGGACGUUUUGAUCUCAAAUUCUUGUAUAAGAUUUAUCUUUUUUUGUUUACUCUUUGUGUGGUCAACAAUCAGAAUAAUGUAAACCAGUAUUGACUUUCAAAGCUAUCAAUUAUAUCAAGUGUUUAUUCAGUUUUCGAUGGAUAUAAAAUGAGUUUGAUUCUUUGCCCCCAGUGAUUAAUAUCAAAUUUAUCAAUUUUGAAUACGAUUUACCUGGCAAAAAUAUAGUAAUACAAUAACUGUAUUUUUUUAAGAAAUGCAACAGUAUAAAAUAUAUAUUUAUGUUGUUUAUGAAACAAGUGAUUUUGAACUCAAUUAAAACUCAAAAUCUGCCAAAACUAUUUUUAAUUAGUCAGCACUAUACUCUAUUCGGAAUGAGAUCGUACCUCGGCGACCAGCUUGUGCGUAUGUGCGUGGCUUUACUACACAGCAGGCCUACAGAUAGUUGACUUGGUAGGGUGGACAAACGGGUAUUGUCUGUCUGCCGCUCGACAAAAACCUGGUUACCGCUGAGGUACAAUCUCAUUCCGAAUAGAGUAUAGUUAAAUUUUUAAAGUAAAUGCUUUAGAUGGAAUUUUAAACAAACUUAAUUGCAGGUUUCAAUUUAUUUCACAGAAGUAUUCAUUACUAUAAAUCAAGUUCCAGACAAUAAUCUUUACCUCUGCACAGCCACAACAAAAGCAUUGACGGGGACAGAAAAAGGCUUUGUGAGGUGCACUUACAAAAAACCAUAGGCAGAAAAUCACGGUUUAUGUGAAAAAAAAACAUUAGAUACUUUAUAACUUUAAAUACUAUGAUAGUUUUUCCUUACUAAAACAAAUAACAAAAUUAGAUUAUUCAUUUCUAUACUUAUUUUAAUAUGUAAUUAUUUCUACUCUUCCCUAGUACUAUAGUACUAUAGUAGUAUUUUCACCAAUGUAUUUCAGAUAAAAUUUAUUCUAACUAAAAGAAGUAAGUUAAAAUUAGUUUAUAUCUCGAGGGUCUUAAUUAUUUCUAAAAGAGGGUUGUAAAAACUAGUAUUGACUAAUUAUUAAAAAUAGUUAUAACUGAUUAUAGGUUUUAAUUGCAACAUAAUAUAUACUUAAAACAUUUUAAUGUUUGAUUUUAUUUUAAAAUAUUAAUUUUUUAUUAUUAUUAUUUUUAUCAUUGAUAUUGUAUAAAACAAGGUA